RNAcentral lists this ribosomal RNA (427 nucleotides) under uncultured bacterium. RNAcentral's name for it is "partial 16S ribosomal RNA". It matches the Rfam family "Bacterial small subunit ribosomal RNA", at positions 355 to 774 of the family's 1533-position model. The record is from RNAcentral.
UGGGGAAUAUUGGACAAUGGGCGAAAGCCUGAUCCAGCCAUGCCGCGUGUGUGAAGAAGGUCUUCGGAUUGUAAAGCACUUUAAGUUGGGAGGAAGGGCAUUAACCUAAUACGUUAGUGUUUUGACGUUACCGACAGAAUAAGCACCGGCUAACUCUGUGCCAGCAGCCGCGGUAAUACAGAGGGUGCAAGCGUUAAUCGGAAUUACUGGGCGUAAAGCGCGCGUAGGUGGUUUGUUAAGUUGGAUGUGAAAUCCCCGGGCUCAACCUGGGAACUGCAUUCAAAACUGACUGACUAGAGUAUGGUAGAGGGUGGUGGAAUUUCCUGUGUAGCGGUGAAAUGCGUAGAUAGAGGAAGGAACACCAGUGGCGAAGGCGACCACCUGGACUAAUACUGACACUGGGGUGCGAAAGCGUGGGGAGCAAACA